AGAACGAACGCUGGCGGCAUGCCUAAUACAUGCAAGUCGAACGAACUCUUCGGAGUUAGUGGCGCACGGGUGCGUAACGCGUGGGAAUCUGCCCCUUGGUUCGGAAUAACAGUUGGAAACGACUGCUAAUACCGGAUGAUGACGAAAGUCCAAAGAUUUAUCGCCAAGGGAUGAGCCCGCGUAGGAUUAGCUAGUUGGUGAGGUAAAGGCUCACCAAGGCAACGAUCCUUAGCUGGUCUGAGAGGAUGAUCAGCCACACUGGGACUGAGACACGGCCCAGACUCCGUACGGGAGGCAGCAGUAGGGAAUAUUGGACAAGUGGGACGAAAGCCUGAUCCAGCAAUGCCGCGUGAGUGAUGAAGGCCGUUAGGGUUGUAA
Molecule: ribosomal RNA, 378 nt
Filed under: uncultured soil bacterium
Lineage: Bacteria
Description: bacterial SSU rRNA
Rfam family: Bacterial small subunit ribosomal RNA
Source: RNAcentral